CCUUAGGCAAUCCACCUGCCUUGGCCUCCCAAAGUGCUGGGAUUACAGGCGUGAGCCACCGCACCUGGCUCAUUACCCCUUUUUAAUUAGUAGCAUUGCUCUUCUCUCUCUGACUAUACGUACUCUCUCUGACUUCUAAAUUUAUCAGCAGCUUCUUCUGAAGCUGGCCUGGUACCCGGUGAGCUCUACGGGACUCUGAGCUGAGUUUAGAGGAGGGAAAGGCAGUUGAAGGGAUUUCUUGUUGGCUACAAUGCUUAGACACCUCAGGGGGUGAAGCACAUGCUCUGACUGUUACCAGUAAGUUCCCAGGCCAACCAGUGGGUAGUUCUUACUACCACACUUGGCUUGCUAGGGCUUUUGCAUGAAAAUGAAUGUGAGGACAUAAGAUCAGUUGUGGCAGGAAGACACAUAACUAACCACACAGGGGACCAACAUAAAAGCUGUUUCCUCUGGUAUAGGCUGACUAAUGCACGGGUAGCCUGGCUGGGGCUCCACAGGCAGGAAAACAUUUUGAUAAGAUGAUUAUAACAGUAGCCAUAACAGUAGCCAACUUUAUUGUGUAUAUUCUAUGUUGUUUAAUUCUCACUACAGGUCCUAUGGUUCUCCUCAUUUCACAGAUGAAGAAACAGUAGUUCAGCAACUUGCCCAAACUCACAGAAGUAGGAAGUCACAGAGCCUAGAUCUGAACUCAAGUCAACUGGCUAUUCCCCAUGUAAGGGGUCUUAUUAAUGAUAGUCUGCAUUUGUUAAGGUGCAGGCUGAGCACAGAGACCUCAAAAUUUAGUGGCUGAAAUAAGAGAGAGGUUUAUUUUGCUCUCACUUAGCAGUCCAGAGGUGAGCAGUCCAAGUUGGUAGGGUCACUGGGCUCCACAUGGCCAUUCAGGGACCUAGGUUCCUUCCAUCUUGUUGCCCCACCACCACUUAGAGUGUGGUUCAAUCACCAAAGCUGGUCAUUGCCUUCUCUGUGUUCCUGACCAUGGGGAGGAGAAAGAGCAAGUCUAAGGCAAGCAGAUUAUUUCAAGUAGGUGUUGUAGAAAUUGCAUACGUCACUUCUAUUCAUAUUCUAUUGGCAUAACUUAGUCAUACGGCCACACCUAGCUGCAGGGAAGUCUGGGAAAUAUGGUCUCUAUCUGGGCAGCCAUAUGAACAGUUAAAAUUCUAUAAAACUCUGUAACUACAGAAGAGAGAAUGCAGUUUGGGGCAAUCAGUUUGCAGUCUACCAUAAAGACCAUCUUCUCUUUUGUGAAUAUUAAGACUGGGCUACCACAGGACAGUGUUAAAUGCAUUCAUGAUCAUAUGCAGACAUGGGGUCAUCUAUUCAUUUCAUAAAUAUGAAGCCCUUCCUUUGCCGGUACUACUGUAGUGAGCUGCUUGGGGGCUGCCAAGAUGCCUGAUUCACUGUCUCUUCCUGAGGCACAGCCGGGAGAUGAGACAUCAGCCAGGAAUCAGGAAAGAGGAAAGAGAGUUGACUGGUGGAUUUCAUUCACUCAUUCAACCUGGUGUAUUUACACACAUCUUGUGCUGAGAAAGGACUUGAGGUAGCCCACUUGUAGUAGGAUACAGCUGGCAAAAUGCUGUUCGUGUGCGUAAUCUCUUUCACCUUCUCACCCACUCUGAGGGAGGCAGGGUAGUUUCAGAGGAGUUCUGGAAGCAUCAGAAAUCCCAUGACUGGUGAGUGGUGAGGGCAGGAUUUGGAGCUGGUCUUGAGGGUGGUAGAAAGGGCAAAGUGCAGAUUCGAAGUUGGGAGAGUCCACAUUCGAGGCCCGGCUCUUCUGAUCCUAACGAAUAGCUUCACUCACCCCUGGAAGCCUCAGUUUCCUCAUCUGGAAAACUGAUGCUCAGGCUACUUAUGUCAAAGGGCCAGGAGGAGGACCUGCUGAGAUAAUGGGUGAGUUUCUGGGGCACGUAGAUGCUCCACAGCCGUGAGUGUCCUCCCUGGCUUCUUAGGAGCACUUGGUCCCUGGCAAUUUGCAUUACAUGUUCUAUGAUGUCCUAAGAAUGUGUCCUCGAGAGAACAAUGAGUCCAUGGACUCAGGGACACUGGGCAGGGCCCUAUCUAGGCCUUUGGUGUUUGGCUCCAAGUUCUCCCUUCAUCGUGGGAAUCCAGCUGCAGGCUUGAAAGGCAAUGCUCCUGAGACUGCUCCCCUGCUCUGCCCUCAGCUUCCCUCGGGUGCUCUCCAGCUUGGCUGCACCACCUGUGACCUCACUUCAUUGUGGACACCCUGACCAGGGCCCCAGUGACUGGGGUACCUGGAAAGGCUGUGGAGCCCAGCCUCCUACUGAUAGGAACCUUCCUGCAGGAGCCUUCCAGCUCAGAAAAUAGGCUGCAUGCGGAGCAAGACUAGACUGAGUCUUGACAGGUCGAGGGGAAUAUUACUUAGGAGACAUGGUUCUCUUAUUCGCCUCAGGAACAUUUUUUUUUUGCCUGCAAAAAGCCAGGAGGAUUCUCAGCUUUGCCCAGGUGUUCUCAGGGACAGCCACACAGAAUGUCCCAGAAGCUGAGUGGAAAGCAGUCCUGGGAUACACCCUCUGCAGAGGGAUGGUGAAAGACAACUGGAGAGACGAUUUUGAUGCGGUCACACAGCCAACAGUGACAGUCAUGUAUGUGGCACAGCAUGGCCUCUCGUGCCUGGGGACUGCACAGCAUCACAGGCUUCUCCUCUGCCACCCUGUCCUCAAGCACACCAGUGGAUUGCAGGCCUCCCACGGAGCUCUGCAGAGUGGGUAAGGCAUCCGCCUUCCAGAACCUCUCAGCUUAGCAGGCUGGGUAAGGCAGGCAGUCGCCCCGGGGGAAUGUGAUAAGUGCCCAAAGAGAGAUGUUAGCAGCAUGAUAAAUUAGGUGGUAAAUGCACCAGGCUCUCCGUCCCCGUCUGUUUCAGGCUGGUGGAUGCUGGAUUUGCUUUCGCACAUUUAUAUGGAAAUACAUCUUUGCUGUGGCUUGUAAUUUUCUAGUUGAAUAACUUCAGGGUAGGCCUACUUUAGAAUUUAAUUAUCCUUACGCUGGGAGAGCUUUGCUGAGGUUCAGUGCUCAGAAGAGUGCACGAUUCUAAACAUUGCGUGACACUCACCAUAGGGCACCGUUGGCUGCAGUACAUCACUGUUUUGAGGGUUGUAUGAUAGUGUUCUUAUGUCCUGCUGACCCAGGAGUCAAGAUGGACUGGUCUCAAAUGAAAUUCUGCCCUACCACUAAUCACGCAGCAGGGAGGUUUCUCAUCUACUGGAUACUUAACCAAGAGGUUUUGAAGCCAGACUGAUUUUGGCAACCCUAAUGCAUUGGCUCCACAGUGCUUUUUUAAUGACAGUCCAAGCUAAAUAUGAAAGAUCCAACUGCAGAUUCAUUGUGCACUAAAGGCUUGAAUCUCUAAGUAGUGGUGACAUAGUCCUGUAGGGAAAUUGUGAAUUGAAGCUUCUCAGAAUUAGGCUUCUCAAAGCCGAGGCCCAAUGUAGGAAGAUAAUAUGUGGCUGUCUAGAGUGUGGUGCUGAAAAAGGGUCAGAGGGCUUCUGUGUUCCUCAGAAAAGGGAACUGGGAUUGAUUAGUAAUAUCUGCUUUGAGUUCAGGAGCAGGGACAGUGGCCCAAAUGCCAUGUGUUUGUAAUUAGCCAUUUCCAAGAUACCUCCCAACUUCUGGGCUCUGUGCAGAGAGUGGUGGGGCGGGGAGGGGGCUUUCUCCAAUGUUCUCUCCAUUCACCCUCACUGCAAAGUGUUGAUGCUAUUUCCAUGGGAAGAUGUUCAUGGAAAGAUGUUAAGGAAUCAAAAGCAGGAUUUAAAAGAAACAUACAAUGUAUAAAUAAUUACGAACAAAUUUUAAUAUAUUUGGAAAAGAACCUGGAAGGAAAUAUAUCAUAAUGUUCAUAAUUGUUAUCACUGGGUGAUAAGAUUGUGGAUGGAUUUUGCUUUUUCCUUCAUGCUCAUCUAUAUUUUUCUAUUUUUGUGCAAUGACCCAUAUUCCUUUUUAAGCAUACAUAAAUUAUAUGUGUGAGUUGGUGUGUGCAUUCUUCAAUAUUACAUAUGUGCAGAUUUGGUGGCAUGCUUUUUUCACUUUAUAAAUUCAUCAGGAACAUUAAUUACUCCUCCUCAAUGUAAUUUUUUAGUUACUACUUAAGGUAAUUCUAAGCCUUUUGCUUCAUCUGGGCUGAAAGGUCUGGACAGCAACCUCAUCAUCAUCUCCUCAUAUUUUUUUUUAAAGUAUCAACUUUUAUUUAGAUUCAGAGGAUACACGUGCAGGUUUGUUACACGGGUUUAUUGCAUGAUGCUGAGUUUGGGGUAUGACUGAUCCCAUCACCCAGGUAUUGAGCAUAGUGCCCAAUAGGUAGUUUUUCAGUCCUUGCCCCCCUCCCUCCCUUCCCCCUCUAGUAAUUCCCAGUGUCUGUUUUUCCCAGCUUUAUGUCCAUGUGUACUCAAUGCUUAGCUCCCACUUGUGAGAACAUGCAAAACCCCACCAUGUUUGGUUUUCUGUUCCUGCAUUAAUUUGUUUAGGAUAAAUUAAUUUGUUUAGUAAUCUCCAGCUGCAUCUGUGUUAACUGUAAAGGAUAUGAUUUUGUUCCUUUUUAUGGCUGCAUAGUAUUCCAUUGCAUAUAUGUACCACCUUUUCUUUAUCCGAUCCACUGUUGAUGGGCACCUAGGUUGAUUCCAUGUCUUUGCUAUCAUGAAUAUUGCUGUGAUG
Molecule: long non-coding RNA, 4662 nt
Filed under: Homo sapiens (human)
Lineage: Eukaryota; Metazoa; Chordata; Mammalia; Primates; Hominidae
Description: HSALNT0314504
Source: RNAcentral